GCGGCGAACGGGUGAGUAACACGUGAGCAACCUGCCCCUGACUCUGGGAUAAGCCCGGGAAACUGGGUCUAAUACCGGAUAUAACCACUGGUCUCAUGAUCGGGUGGUGGAAAGUUUUUCGGUUGGGGAUGGGCUCGCGGCCUAUCAGCUUGUUGGUGGGGUGAUGGCCUACCAAGGCGACGACGGGUAACCGGCCUGAGAGGGCGACCGGUCACACUGGGACUGAGACACGGCCCAGACUCCUACGGGAGGCAGCAGUGGGGAAUAUUGCGCAAUGGGCGGAAGCCUGACGCAGCGACGCCGCGUGAGGGAUGACGGCCUUCGGGUUGUAAACCUCUUUCAGCAGGGACGAAGCUAACGUGACGGUACCUGCAGAAGAAGCGCCGGCUAACUACGUGCCAGCAGCCGCGGUAAUACGUAGGGCGCAAGCGUUGUCCGGAAUUAUUGGGCGUAAAGAGCUCGUAGGCGGUUUGUCGCGUCUGUCGUGAAAGCCCACGGCUUAACCGUGGGUCUGCGGUGGAUACGGGCAGACUAGAGGCAGGUAGGGGAGAAUGGAAUUCCCGGUGUAGCGGUGAAAUGCGCAGAUAUCGGGAGGAACACCGGUGGCGAAGGCGGUUCUCUGGGCCUGUACUGACGCUGAGGAGCGAAAGCGUGGGGAGCGAACAGGAUUAGAUACCCUGGUAGUCCACGCCGUAAACGUUGGGCGCUAGGUGUGGGGUCCUUCCACGGAUUCCGCGCCGCAGCUAACGCAUUAAGCGCCCCGCCUGGGGAGUACGGCCGC
RNAcentral lists this ribosomal RNA (781 nucleotides) under Actinomycetes bacterium. RNAcentral's name for it is "bacterial SSU rRNA". It matches the Rfam family "Bacterial small subunit ribosomal RNA", at positions 95 to 889 of the family's 1533-position model. Lineage: Bacteria; Bacillati; Actinomycetota; Actinomycetes. The record is from RNAcentral.